RNAcentral lists this ribosomal RNA (301 nucleotides) under uncultured bacterium. Its description in RNAcentral is "partial 16S ribosomal RNA". It matches the Rfam family "Bacterial small subunit ribosomal RNA", at positions 509 to 807 of the family's 1533-position model. The record is from RNAcentral.
CAGCAGCCGCGGUAAUACGUAGGUCCCGAGCGUUGUCCGGAUUUAUUGGGCGUAAAGGGAGCGCAGGCGGUUUAGUAAGUCUGAAGUUAAAGGCAUUGGCUCAACCAAUGUAUGCUUUGGAAACUGUUAGACUUGAGUGCAGAAGGGGAGAGUGGAAUUCCAUGCGUAGCGGUGAAAUGCGUAGAUAUAUGGAGGAACACCGGUGGCGAAAGCGGCUCUCUGGUCUGUCACUGACUCUGAGGCUCGAAAGCGUGGGUAGCGAACAGGAUUAGAUACCCCCGGUAGUCCCUGUCUCUUAUAC